RNAcentral lists this long non-coding RNA (562 nucleotides) under Gallus gallus (chicken). Lineage: Eukaryota; Metazoa; Chordata; Aves; Galliformes; Phasianidae. The record is from RNAcentral.
AGUGAUAGAGCUGGAUAAACAGCCAGCCUGAUUUUUCAAUGCUGUUGUUUAAGAAGAUCUGCGUUCCUUGGUCAAGGUAACUCUGGACAAAAAUAGGCUGAAGGGAUUCAGACAACUGCUCUGUGUUGCAGACAUACCACUGGUGGUUCUCCCCGGCGCCCGGCGCGGGCGGGCCGUGACUGCCCAUCAUAUUCGCGUAGAGGGACCUGGAUAAAGGGCUCCGCAGGUACCUGGCGGGGCCAGCCCACAUCCUUCUCCUCAGCGCCCACAGGAGCAGGGUGUAGCAGCCCAGCCAGCACAGCCACAGUCUCAUCGGGGGACGGGGCGCGGAGUCACCCCCUCCCGUAGCCGCCGCCUCCCCUCUCCAUGGCAGCGGCGGCGCGCAGCCCGCCGAGCUCCGCGCCCCGCCAGGGCCCUCACGCACACCUCGGGGCGGAACGCGGCGCCGCGGCAGCGGGGCCCGGCCGGACCGCUUCGCCGCGACACGCCGGGGCCUGGCGCGCACCCGCGCCGUCCCUUUCUCUCGCCAAUCGCGGGGCGGGCGGGGCCGCCUCUCUCAAAC